AUACGUAGGGGGCGAGCGUUGUCCGGAAUGAUUGGGCGUAAAGGGCGCGUAGGCGGCUUUGCAAGUCAGUAGUGGAAGUCCAUUUUUCAAGGAUGGAAGUGCUACAGAAACUGCGGAGCUUGAGUGCAGGAGGGGUUAUCGGAAUUCCCGGUGUAGCGGUGAAAUGCGUAGAGAUCGGGAGGAACACCAGUGGCGAAGGCGGGUAACUGGACUGCAACUGACGCUGAGGCGCGAAAGUGUGGGGAGCAAACAGGAUUAGAUACCCUGGUAGUCCACGCCGUAAACGAUGAGUGCUAGGUGUUGGGGGUCAAACCUCGGUGCCGCAGCUAACGCAUUAAGCACUCCGCCUGGGGAGUACGUACGCAAGUAUGAAACUCAAAGGAAUUGACGGGG
This 393-nucleotide ribosomal RNA is filed under the name uncultured bacterium. Its description in RNAcentral is "partial 16S ribosomal RNA". It matches the Rfam family "Bacterial small subunit ribosomal RNA", at positions 523 to 918 of the family's 1533-position model. The record is from RNAcentral.